CAGUCGCCGCGGUAAUACGAGGGGGGCAAGCGUUGUUCGGAAUUAUUGGGCGUAAAGGGUGCGUAGGCGGCUUGACAAGUCUUGUGUGAAAUCUAUGGGCUCAACCCAUAGUCUGCACGGGAAACUGUCGGGCUUGAGAAUGGGAGAGGUGAGUGGAAUUUCCGGUGUAGUGGUGAAAUGCGUAGAUAUCGGAAGGAACACCUGUGGCGAAAGCGGCUCACUGGACCAUUUCUGACGCUGAUGCACGAAAGCUAGGGGAGCAAACAGGAUUAGAUACCCGAGUAGUCCCUGUCUCUUAUAC
Molecule: ribosomal RNA, 301 nt
Filed under: uncultured bacterium
Lineage: Bacteria
Description: partial 16S ribosomal RNA
Rfam family: Bacterial small subunit ribosomal RNA
Source: RNAcentral